This 462-nucleotide ribosomal RNA is filed under the name uncultured Rhodocyclaceae bacterium. RNAcentral describes it as "bacterial SSU rRNA". It matches the Rfam family "Bacterial small subunit ribosomal RNA", at positions 923 to 1382 of the family's 1533-position model. The record is from RNAcentral. Lineage: Bacteria; Pseudomonadati; Pseudomonadota; Betaproteobacteria; Rhodocyclales; Rhodocyclaceae.
GCACGAAGCGGUGGAUGAUGUGGAUUAAUUCGAUGCAACGCGAAAACCUUACCUACCCUUGACAUGUCCGGAAUCCCGAAGAGAUUUGGGAGUGCUCGCAAGAGAACCGGAACACGAGGUGCUGCAUGGCUGUCGUCAGCUCGUGUCGUGAGAUGUUGGGUUAAGUCCCCGCAACGAGCGCAACCCUUGUCAUUAGUUGCCAUCAUUUGGUUGGGCACUCUAAUGAGACUGCCGGUGACAAACCGGAGGAAGGUGGGGAUGACGUCAAGUCCUCAUGGCCCUUAUGGGUAGGGCUUCACACGUCAUACAAUGGUCGGUACAGAGGGUUGCCAACCCGCGAGGGGGAGCUAAUCCCACAAAGCCGUCCACAGUUCGGAUUGGAGUCUGCAACUCGACUCCAUGAAGCCGGAAUCGCUAGUAAUCGUGGAUCAGCAUGCCACGGUGAAUACGUUCCCGGGUCUU